GAUUCAGUGUGCAGUGCCGGGUGCUGAACUCACAGAUGGAGCGUUCCCAGCUGCAGGUGGUAUAGAUGGCCUAUCCGUUCACUGAGCUGGAGGUGCUGACGAUCGGGUUCUCUCUCCUGGUGUUCGCCCUCUUCACACUCACUGGGAUUCUCACUGAGGAACGUAUGCACUCCAACGAGAUGACUGUACGAGCACAGAGUGAGGAGCAGAUCGUCUGAUUCGAGUUUCAAGACUGAGAAUGAAAAACUUCAGAGGGCAGCAGCGGUGUCUUUUUACUUGUUGAGUGUUUUAUGAGGACAUAUCAGUCGAAGCAAUGUGUGAGAGGGAGUGAGUGAGUGUGUGUUAUCAGUUCUCAGAACAAAGUCUAAAUGGUAACCAGUGAAUGUGUGUACAUGUGUAAGUGUGUGUGUGUAUGUCUGUGGACCUUGUUACAGGAUCCAGUAUGACUUGUUUCCAGGAUGAGGCACAAAGAAAGGAGUGGCCUAGAUGUUACACUGUAAAAAAGUAAAAUAAACAAACGCCUGUUCCUGCAAACUGUUCAAUGACGGUCGUCUACGGCUGCUUUCCUUGCUCUUUGAGAUCGCGGUGAUGUGAGGACACAAAGAAGCGAUUUUAUUUUGAAGUUCAGAUCUGGAAAUACCUGCUGAGAUUCUUCCUACAGUUGUGUAGAUGGCACUGCCGUUCGACGGUUUUGAGCUGACCUUCAUCAUCUUCGCCUUCUUCAUCGUCUCCCUCUUCAGCUUGGCUUCAAUCUGCAUCAAACCAGAAGCAAAACAUCCAGAAAACUGUGGCACGGAAGCAAAGAAGUCACGGCCAUUAAACAAAAAGCAGAGAGUGAUCAACAAACAAGCUGGAAAGAAACCAUAAAGUCACACUCAGAGAUCUCUGUCUGGAUCUGCUGUGCUGCAGGGAAAGUUCUCAUGAAUGACUCAAAAUGAACUGGAAACAUCAGAUUAAAGAAUGUUAUUGUAUUGAAAGGUAGCUGUGAUUUUUCCAAAAAUAUGGUAACAAUAAACGUGUUUAUAAUGA
Long non-coding RNA from Trematomus bernacchii (emerald rockcod), 1029 nucleotides. RefSeq lists it as uncharacterized. The record is from RefSeq and is a predicted model, not a curated record. Lineage: Eukaryota; Metazoa; Chordata; Actinopteri; Perciformes; Nototheniidae. The transcript has 4 exons.